This 364-nucleotide ribosomal RNA is filed under the name uncultured bacterium SY5-53. RNAcentral's name for it is "bacterial SSU rRNA". It matches the Rfam family "Bacterial small subunit ribosomal RNA", at positions 8 to 362 of the family's 1533-position model. The record is from RNAcentral. Lineage: Bacteria; Bacillati; Bacillota; Negativicutes; Selenomonadales; Selenomonadaceae.
AGAGUUUGAUCCUGGCUCAGGACGAACGCUUGCGACGUGCCUAAGAAAUGCAAGAUCGAGCGGGGGGUAGCAAUACCCUUAGCGGGCGAACGGUCGCGUAACACGUAGGCAACCUGCCCUUAAGACCGGGACAACAGUUCGAAAGGGACUGCUAAUACCGGAUGUGGUCAUCUGUCGGCAUCGGCGGAUGAGUAAAUCCCUCACGGGGCUUAAGGAGGGGCCUGCCGGCUAUCAGCUAGAUGGUGGGGUAAUUGGCCUACCAUGGCGACGACGGGUUAGCUGGUCUGAAGAGGACCGGUCAAGCCGGAUUGGGGACUUGAGAUACGGGCCCAGACUUCUUACGGGGGGGCAGCAAUUUAGGGAA